AAGCCCAGCACUGAACCUCGUGUCUCCGGAUACCGAGGAAUGUAGUGUUCAGGAGAGAGGUGGUUUGCCUGUCCGGUGAUUGUCCAAGUCCCCAUGAUCGGGGCUAGAGUCCGCAGAGGGUGUCAGGCCCGUAGUGACGCACCGCGACCGUGAACGCUUGAUCUCCUAAGAGUCGGGUUGCUUGAGAGUGCAGCCCUAAGCGGGAGGUAAACUCCUUCUAAGGCUAAAUACCGCCACGAGACCGAUAGCAAACAAGUACCGCGAGGGAAAGUUGAAAAGAACUUUGAAGAGAGAGUUCAAGAGUGCGUGAAACCGUUCAGGGGGUUAAACGGGUGGGCCCUCGAAGGUCGAACGGCAUCUACUCCCGUUACCUGCAUACGAGCCUGCGCUGGGACGAGUCGCAUUCUGCGGCCGCCGAGUGUGGUACGCUUGGGGCGUGCAGGGACCGCUAGUUGGAUGCCUAGUAGGACUCCGCAACCGGCUGGGGUGAUACGGUCGUCAGACGGGUCUUGAGGAGCGGCCUCCUUGUGGGGCUGUCUUUUUGAGAUUCCCGGCGACCACUCGGCCGUUGAGUGCUGCCUCGCUGUUCCUCAUGGAUGGACGAGCGUUUUGACCUUUGCGGGGAGAAGCGUUGUCGGUUCGUUCGAGGCUCCGGUGAGAAGCGCGGAGAGUAGGUCGGGUCCCACCCGACCCGUCUUGAAACACGGACCAAGGAGUCUAACAUGUGCGCGAGUCGUCGAGUUGUACCAAACUCGAAGGCGCAAUGAAAGUAAAGGCUAGGCUUGCCCUAGCUGAGGGGAGAUCCCGUUUCUGCUUCGGUAGCGCGGGCGCAUCCCCGGGGCGUCUAGACUGCGUUGCCAGUCGGACGCACCUAGAGCGUACACGUUGGGACCCGAAAGAUGGUGACCUAUGCCUGGCCAGGAC
Molecule: ribosomal RNA, 924 nt
Filed under: Triops australiensis
Lineage: Eukaryota; Metazoa; Arthropoda; Branchiopoda; Notostraca; Triopsidae
Description: partial large subunit ribosomal RNA
Rfam family: Eukaryotic large subunit ribosomal RNA
Source: RNAcentral